This 776-nucleotide ribosomal RNA is filed under the name uncultured Neocallimastigales. Its description in RNAcentral is "partial large subunit ribosomal RNA". It matches the Rfam family "Eukaryotic large subunit ribosomal RNA", at positions 24 to 642 of the family's 3401-position model. Lineage: Eukaryota; Fungi; Neocallimastigomycota; Neocallimastigomycetes; Neocallimastigales. The record is from RNAcentral.
UAUCUCUGUAGAGUCUGCAUAUCAAUAAGCGGAGGAAAAGAAACUAACAAGGAUUCCCUCAGUAACGGCGAGUGAAGCGGGAAGAGCUCAAAUUUGAAAUCUUCAAGGUUCUGACCUUGACGAAUUGUAGUUUAAAGAAGUGUUUUCGGUUAGAGGAGUAGUAAAAGUUCUUUGGAAUAGGACAUCAUAGAGGGUGAGAAUCCCGUAUUUGACUAUUCUUUCUAGCUUUGUGAUACACUUUCAAAGAGUCGGAUUGUUUGGGAAUGCAGUCCAAAAUGGGUGGUAAAAUUUCAUCUAAAGCUAAAUAUUGGCGAGAGACCGAUAGCGAACAAGUACCGUGAGGGAAAGAUGAAAAGAACUUUGAAAAGAGAGUUAAACAGUACGUGAAAUUGUCAAAAGGGAAGCGUUUGACACCAGUGUUGUUUUUCCGAAAAUCAAUUAAAAAUUGAUUCAUGCCAGGUUGUAUUGACCUUAUCAGCUUGCAAUUUGGUUUUGGGUCUCUUUUUGAUGCACUUUUCGGUUAACAAGUCAACAUCAAUUUCCUUUGCUGUAAAAAGGUAAGAGGAAGGUGGCUUCAAUUUCGGUUGAAGUGUUUAUAGCCUUUUAUCUCUGCAGUCGGGGAGAUUGAGGUCUGCAGCGUAGAUCCUUCGGGGCUAGAUACAUUUAUGCUAAGUUAUAGCUUUUCAUAGACAACUUGUUGACUAUGUUUAGUCAUGUAGCUUACUCGUAAGUGCUAUUUUACCUACGCUUAGGAUGUUGAGCGCAUGUCUCUCUCU